Peromyscus californicus insignis is the source of this 3000-nucleotide long non-coding RNA. RefSeq lists it as uncharacterized. Lineage: Eukaryota; Metazoa; Chordata; Mammalia; Rodentia; Cricetidae. The transcript has 3 exons. The record is from RefSeq and is a predicted model, not a curated record.
UUAAACUGACAAACUCAUUUUUCUACCGGGACAGGAUGCUGUGCUGGCUGAAGUUCCAUUUCUACAGCAAGAAUCCUAUCUGGAAGCAUAGAAGUUGUCCUCUAGCCACAGCAGCGACAACUUUUUUGAUUGUUGUUGCUGCUUUCUCCCAUCACCCCCAUCCCCUUUUGACAAAGAUCCAACUGUAAAAAGUCUUACGUAACAGUUCAGGACUACUUCGGUUCUUUUACCGGGCAAACAAGAAGGAUUUACUUGUUCGAUUAAGCUCUGCAGUGAAGGUUCUACCUGAGUUAUGAGCAAGUCCUGUGGUGGGCAGGAGGAACCAGUACAACAAUGAGCAUGGAGCCACAAGUUCGCUGUUCAAGUUCUGGCUAUGUGACUCCACUUGGGAGGAAGAAACAGGAAGUGAUAUGGCUGGGCAGAAGAGGAAGUAAUAAGGCAAGGUGGAGACAGGAGUUCGGUCGGCACUUUCAGGCUGAGGAUUCAGUAGAGGUAAGAAGUGUCUCUAGUGGCUGGCUCCUUUACUGAUCUUUCAGCAUUUACCCCAUAUAUCUGGCUCCAGAUUUUUAUUAUUAAGACCAAUUAGGAUUCAUGUCUAUGGUAUGGAUAGAGAUUUGGUUAUAUAGUCCAAGCAGACUUAUAAAGCCUUUGACCUACUCAAACAUAAAACAAAACAUCAUCUUUAGCUGACUUUACACACCACACAUUCCAUACUUGUGUUAAUACAGAUAUAUGUUACCUUUAAAAGUUUAUGUGUUUUCAGAAAAAAAGGACCAGACACCAAAAAAGAAAAGUAGCCCAGGUGAUCCAGCCUCUCAGAAUGCCUCUGUUACAGUUUCCUCAAAAUUCUGCAUCAAGAACAACUAGCUGACAUGGUCUAGCCUUACAGACUAUCCAGCCAAGACUUCAGAAAAGCUCUAUACUUUCCCAUCACACAGAGACUAAACAAAAAAUAAUACAGUUAACUCUCCCAGUACUUGACCAUUAUCCUAAUUUUCACAGAAUCCCCUAAAGAUGCCGUCACCCUGAGAUAACAGGAAGCAAUCUAGAGAAUAUGACACCCACAUUCCCAAGAAGAGGGGUGGGUGGUUUUUGGUUGUUCAAUGGAUUACGGAUGUUUAUCAUCAUUUAAGGGGGUUGGUUACAAGUUGUUGGUCAUCAGGGAAAAAAACAGAACAAAGAAGAUUAGAUUCAGGGAUCUCUUUCUGAAGGAAAAAGGGGGGAUAUAGUAUAGAAAUGAUGGAAUAAAAGGGUGGAUUGUUGAGUCUACUUUUGAACAACCAUUAGUCUCAAGUAUUUUACAUUGGUAUGGAUUUUUAUAUACUGACACAAAUAUAAGGGUUUUUUAUGCUGUAUGUUAUGUUUCUACUCUUGUUUAAGGUUUUGUACCUAUGCAGCUCACUUAAAAAUGUAAAGUUCUAGUCCUUAAAGCCAUUAUUAUAAACCAUUUAGGAUAAUUAAGAAAUGCAGGUUAGUAGUUAGUCAUCCAUAACGAUCAAACUUGCAGUCAUGUUAGGUAUGUCUUCAAGGUCAUACAUAAGAUAUAUUUUUGAUAGAGUGAUGGUCUUCAAACACUUCAAAGACCUACAGAAUAUAGUAUUUAUAAUGUUUUAAUUAAAUAAGGUUUUUUCAUGACAGUGAGACAUAUCUGCUCCUGGCAGCACCAAUUUACAUCAAGAAAAGAUGAUGGGCAUCAAAGAUACGGAGUUUGCUUUAUGUCAAAGCUAGUCAUUUGGGCAAGAAACUGCCCUUGCUUCAACUGCUGACAGUAUGCUGUCCCAAACUGGACUAGCAUGACACAAAAGAAAGCAACUGUCAAGCUUUACCAAGACAAGGUAGGACAGUACUUCAAAAUUCCGGCUUUACAGAAAAAUCUGUCAGAUAUUCUAGACCUGUAGGCUGAAGAUGGAUGCCCAAUGUUACAGAAGAACCUUGGGUGACUGUUCAGGAAGCCAGAUGUCUCUGUCAUUUCUAUAGUUUUAGAAGUUACUUGCUCUGCACUUCCUGUUUACUCAGGUAAUAUUAUAUCCUUCUCCAGUCUUUGAUGGGGUUGAAGACUAGAUAGUUACAGUUUUGUUACCAAAUUCAAAAAAGAAAAAAACAAAAAACUCACAAAAGAGAUAUAAAGGGCAUAAGGUUGAGAGACAUAAAAAGAUAGUUUUGUGUUGGUAAUACAAGUUAGCAUAGAAAGUAAAUUAGGUACAAAACUUUUGACUCACCAAGACAGAAUAAAUAAUAGAAUAUUUUCUCUGAAUUUGCCAAAUACAGAUAGACUGAACGUUGUAAAUGUAACUCUUACCUGAUAAUUGUUCUUUUUUGUUUGUUUGUUUUGUUUUAUUUUUCGAGACAGAGUUUCUCUGUGUAGCUCUGCACCUUUCCUGGAACUCACUUGAUAGCCUAGGCUGGCCACGAACUCACAAAGAUCUACCUGGCUCUGCCUCCCGAGUGCUGGGAUUAAAGGCGUGUGCCACCACCGCCCAGCCUGAUAAUUGUUCUUAUUGUAUUAGUUUUUUACUGUGUUAAGCAUUAAAACCUUCCUUUUUUAUAUAGACAAAAUAGGAAUGUUGUGGGAUAUGUGUACACUGUGAAUAUGUAUUCCUGUGAUUGGUGUAAUAAAAAGCUGAACAGCCAACAGCUAGGCAGGAGACUUCUGGGACUUCCAGGCAGAGAGAGAACACUGGGAAGAAGACAGAGUCACCAGCCAAAUGGAGAGGAAGGAGAAUGAGUACAGAAUAAAGAUAACUGAGCCAUGUAAAAGAACAUAGAUUGUAGAUUAAAAGAUAUGGGUUAAUUUAAGUUAUAAGAACUAGUUAGGGGGGCUGGAGAGACGGCUCAGUGGUUAAGAGCAUUGGCUGCUCUUCCAGAAGACCUGGAUUCAAUUCCUAGUACCCACAUAGUAGCUCACAGUUGUCUGUAACUCCAAGAUCUGACACCCUCACAUAGACAAAUGUGCACAUAAAAUAAAAAUUAAUUUAAAAAAAAGAACUAGUUAGAAACAAG